AUAAAGAUAGCACAAAUCCAAACCAGUAAGUACUAAGUACAUAUAUUACUUCAAUUUUCUUUUAUAACUAUCAUCAUAUCAUGCUCUUGGUUUUAAUUUGUUCAUAAGUAAUAACGAUUGAUAGCUGCAACUAGAAACCUGCCCAUCCAGCAGGUUUGGUCGAAGCAGCGGGCCUGAUCGAAGCAGUAGGCUUGGUUGAAGUGGCCGGCUUGACUGAAGUAGUAGGCUUGAUUGAAGUGGCUGGCUUGGCUGAAGUAGUAGGCUUAGUGGAAAUGACUGGCUUAGUUGAAGCGGUUUCGGAUUUUUUUACCUCACUGUUGUUGUACCGAUGGGAGGUAUUUCCCUGAGGAAUAGGGGCUGCUGUGAAACUCUCCUUCCCAAAGCCCCAGGUACCAUUUGUACUAGCACCUGUGCUUGAAGGUCCACCACUUCCUUGACGGUUGAUUGUUGUCCGAACUGAUUUGGGACGACUUCCCUUUGUGGUGGACUGAUUUGCUAAUGGCUUUGGCUCAUUAGCAAAUGGUUGCCAUGAGUUUUGAUCUGGAUUUGAUGAAAGGGGGACAUUUGCAAACAUUUCUUGCUGGAGUUCUAAUACAGAUCCUUCAAUUUUUUCCCUCUGCCGUAGCAUGGAAAUAACAAUUAAAUUGUUGAACCAACCAAGAGCACAUGAAGAGUUCAUUAGGGAUAAAAAUUUAAAAUACCUGAGAGGAUGGUGGCAAGCUCACACCAGUAAUUUGGUGUCUCUUAUUGUCUUUGUUUGGUGAAGAUUGCCUCACUUUAGUAACUUUCUGCUUUAACUCCUGAAUCUCUUGCCGUUGGGAACGGCAAAUAGAGGACAAUUUUUCGUACUUGGAAUUUAUCUCAGUUUUUUCUAAAUUAGAUUGCUUCAGCUGCUCCUUCAAUUUAUCCACUUCAACUAAUAACUCCUUUUCAGACUUACUGUUAUUAUUACCGUUAGCAGUACUAAGUUUUGUAGUGUCAAAAUCAGCAACGAAAGUAUUGAAUGCUUCAUUUCCAAAUGUAGGUGUUUUCUCGGACAAUGAUGAUCUGAUUUUUGAAUUUUCAACAUGUGAUUCCCGUGUCUUUCCUGAACCACUGUCGCUAUCAAAUCUAAUUUCAAAGUCCUCAUUGGUAUCAUACGAUUUGUUCAAGGGAUUCCCAGAAUUGAUUUUGUUCAGUGGUUUUUGAGGGUGUGGUUCUCUUGGAGGACUAGUUCUCUUCACAUAACUCUGCUGGCUCGGUUUAGGUGUGACCUGGCUUAUAGGUUCUUCAUGAUAUGUAGCCCAAAACAUACCUAAGGGUGCUCCAUCACCACUUGUUUUAGAAGAACUCACGGAAACUUUGUGCUGCUGCUCUUUGUUUGCAUAUUGUGGCGAUUUUUUACGAGCAUGUUCACUUUUAGAAGCUGAAGACACAGGUGUUCCUUUCGUGGAUCCUAAAAACAAAUUGACUUAUCAGAAAAGCAAAUAAAUUGACUUAUCAGAUAAUACUGUGAGGCAGCCUCUGAUUACCAAAAGAUUAUUUUGAAACAAUUCACAAAAAAUGACCUUCGUAGCGUGCAUUUACAGGUGGCAUUUGCAUAUUUGGAAUUGUUGUUUUAGGAGGGCCAUCAGGUGUCUCCUUUUGCAACUGUACAGGGAGUAGUAAGUUAACGCGAAACCACACCUGCCAGAAAUAAAAAGGUGUCAAUAUAAUUCAGGUUCUCCAAAAUCAUGAUCAUUGCAUGUGCAACAAUCAAAAACUAACCUAGAUUCAUGGAGAUGAAUGGCCAAUCAAGCAAAGCUCUUGCCUGCG
Molecule: long non-coding RNA, 1794 nt
Filed under: Zostera marina
Lineage: Eukaryota; Viridiplantae; Streptophyta; Magnoliopsida; Alismatales; Zosteraceae
Description: long non-coding RNA (ZMAR_LNC003191)
Source: RNAcentral